This 322-nucleotide ribosomal RNA is filed under the name uncultured eukaryote. RNAcentral's name for it is "partial 18S ribosomal RNA". It matches the Rfam family "Eukaryotic small subunit ribosomal RNA", at positions 1470 to 1796 of the family's 1831-position model. The record is from RNAcentral.
CCCUUAGAUGUUCUGGGCCGCACGCGUGCCACACUGAGUGGAUCAGCGGGUCAGGUUGCGCGAAAGUGUUUCCUAAUCUUUAAAUCCGCUCGUGAUGGGGAUUGACGGUUGCAAUUUUCCGUCAUGAACGAGGAAUACCUUGUAAGCGCGGGUCAUCAUCCCGCGCUGAAUACGUCCCUGCCCUUUGUACACACCGCCCGUCGCUCCUACCGAUUGAGUGGUCCGGUGAGGCUUUGGGAUCUGAGCGGAAAGAGCGUUUCGCUGUUUCUGCCCGGAAAACUCAGUCGAACCUUAUCAUUUAGAGGAAGGAGAAGUCGUAACA